RNAcentral lists this ribosomal RNA (301 nucleotides) under uncultured bacterium. RNAcentral's name for it is "partial 16S ribosomal RNA". It matches the Rfam family "Bacterial small subunit ribosomal RNA", at positions 509 to 809 of the family's 1533-position model. The record is from RNAcentral.
CAGUCGCCGCGGUAAUACAGAGGUCUCAAGCGUUGUUCGGAUUCAUUGGGCGUAAAGGGUGCGUAGGUGGCUUGGUAAGUUGAAGGUGAAAUCUCGGGGCUUAACUCCGAAACUGCCUUCAAUACUGCUGAGCUCGAGGAUUGUAGAGGAGAAUGGAAUUCACGGUGUAGCAGUGAAAUGCGUAGAUAUCGUGAGGAAGACCAGUGGCGAAGGCAGCCUCCUGGGCCAAUACUGACGCUCAUGCACGAAAGCGUGGGGAGCAAACAGGAUUAGAUACCCCAGUAGUCCCUGUCUCUUAUAA